This 253-nucleotide ribosomal RNA is filed under the name uncultured bacterium. Its description in RNAcentral is "partial 16S ribosomal RNA". It matches the Rfam family "Bacterial small subunit ribosomal RNA", at positions 524 to 776 of the family's 1533-position model. The record is from RNAcentral.
UACGGAGGGGGCUAGCGUUGUUCGGAAUUACUGGGCGUAAAGCGUACGUAGGCGGCUUUGUAAGUUAGAGGUGAAAGCCCGGGGCUCAACUCCGGAAUUGCCUUUAAGACUGCAUCGCUUGAAUCAUGGAGAGGUGAGUGGAAUUCCGAGUGUAGAGGUGAAAUUCGUAGAUAUUCGCAAGAACACCAGUGGCGAAGGCGGCUCACUGGCCCGGUACUGACGCUGAGGUGCGAAAGCGUGGGGAGCAAACAGG